This 63-nucleotide microRNA precursor is filed under the name Heligmosomoides polygyrus. RNAcentral describes it as "microRNA hpo-mir-10078 precursor". The record is from miRBase by way of RNAcentral. Lineage: Eukaryota; Metazoa; Nematoda; Chromadorea; Rhabditida; Heligmosomidae.
AUCUCAUCCUGAUCGCCAGUGUUACAACUGACAGACGCACUGGUUUAUCGCAGACGAAGAAUG